GUCGGGUCUUCAUUGACUUGGUAACGUAGCUAACGCGUGAAGUUGACCGCCUGGGGAGUACGGUCGCAAGAUUAAAACUCAAAGGAAUUGACGGGGACCCGCACAAGCGGUGGAUGAUGUGGAUUAAUUCGAUGCAACGCGAAAAACCUUACCUACCCUUGACAUGUAUGGAAUCCUGCUGAGAGGUGGGAGUGCCCGAAAGGGAGCCAUAACACAGGUGCUGCAUGGCUGUCGUCAGCUCGUGUCGUGAGAUGUUGGGUUAAGUCCCGCAACGAGCGCAACCCUUGUCCCUAGUUGCUACGCAAGAGCACUCUAGGGAGACUGCCGGUGACAAACCGGAGGAAGGUGGGGAUGACGUCAAGUCCUCAUGGCCCUUAUGGGUAGGGCUUCACACGUCAUACAAUGGUCGGAACAGAGGGUCGCCAACCCGCGAGGGGGAGCCAAUCCCAGAAAACCGAUCGUAGUCCGGAUCGCACUCUGCAACUCGAGUGCGUGAAGCUGGAAUCGCUAGUAAUCGCGGAUCAACAUGCCGCGGUGAAUACGUUCCCGGGUCU
RNAcentral lists this ribosomal RNA (554 nucleotides) under Paraburkholderia sp. RNAcentral's name for it is "bacterial SSU rRNA". It matches the Rfam family "Bacterial small subunit ribosomal RNA", at positions 822 to 1381 of the family's 1533-position model. Lineage: Bacteria; Pseudomonadati; Pseudomonadota; Betaproteobacteria; Burkholderiales; Burkholderiaceae. The record is from RNAcentral.